UACGUAGGGUGCAAGCGUUGUCCGGAAUUAUUGGGCGUAAAGAGCUCGUAGGCGGUCUGUCGCGUCGAUCGUGAAAACUUGGGGCUUAACCCUGAGCUUGCGGUCGAUACGGGCAUGACUGGAGUUCGGCAGGGGAGACUGGAAUUCCUGGUGUAGCGGUGAAAUGCGUAGAUAUCGGGAGGAACACCAGUGGCGAAGGCGACUACCUGGCCUGUUCUUGACGCUGAGGCGCGAAAGCUAGGGGAGCAAACGGG
RNAcentral lists this ribosomal RNA (254 nucleotides) under uncultured bacterium. RNAcentral's name for it is "partial 16S ribosomal RNA". It matches the Rfam family "Bacterial small subunit ribosomal RNA", at positions 524 to 776 of the family's 1533-position model. The record is from RNAcentral.